UUUAGCAAAAACCCACGACAUUCCUCUAACCUCCCAUGAUCUCUUUCACAAUUCUCCUUCACUAUCUAACUCAGCGUGCGGAUCUCUAACUUCCCUGAAUCAUUAUUUUUUAAAAUUUCCAUUCGAUCUUUUCAAUCAUCCAAGUGUUUGUCGAAUUCAUUGGCAUAGUUGAAAUUUUGGGGCUAAGGUGGGCUUGAUUCCUUUGGAGGCCAAGCGUUUGAAGAAUUGAAACAUUGGGUUGAUGUGACCUUGAAUUGGCCUGGAAAUGGAACCACAAGAACAUGGCUAUUUGCAACAACAUGGAGAGAAGGAUAAAUCAUUUACUUUUGAGUACUUUCCAGGGAUUCCUACUUAUUUCCAAGAGAUGAUUGACGAGCUAAGAGAUAUGUGGGUGAAUUAUUUAAACAAUCAAACACAAGACGAUGGAGAUUGAAGACGACGAUCAAGUUUGAAAUUUACAUAUUAUUUGAUAAUAGAAUUUUAGUUUUAGUAGCUAGCAUUAGAUUAUAAAAACUUUAUUUUAAGACAUUAUUAGAAGAAAUUGAUGCUUUCAAUCAAAUUGGUUUUGCAUAUAAAUUAGAUGUAGCAAAAUUUUUUUUGACAUGAUGAAUAAAGCAAGCAAGAAUUUUUAUUUAAUAA
Beta vulgaris subsp. vulgaris (sugar beet) is the source of this 639-nucleotide long non-coding RNA. RefSeq lists it as uncharacterized. Lineage: Eukaryota; Viridiplantae; Streptophyta; Magnoliopsida; Caryophyllales; Amaranthaceae. The transcript is spliced from 4 exons. The record is from RefSeq and is a predicted model, not a curated record.